Molecule: ribosomal RNA, 310 nt
Filed under: uncultured Mariprofundus sp.
Lineage: Bacteria; Pseudomonadati; Pseudomonadota; Candidatius Mariprofundia; Mariprofundales; Mariprofundaceae
Description: bacterial SSU rRNA
Rfam family: Bacterial small subunit ribosomal RNA
Source: RNAcentral
AACGAACGCUGGCGGCGUGCCUAACACAUGCAAGUCGAACGGUAACAGGAAGAGCUUGCUCUUCGCUGACGAGUGGCGCACGGGUGAGUAACGCGUGGAUAUCUGCCUAUUAGUGGGGGACAGCUACGGGAAACCGUAGCUAAUACCGCAUAAUCUCUACGGAGGAAAGCAGGGGACCCUUCGGGGCCUUGCGCUGAUAGAUGAGUCCGCGUCUGAUUAGCUAGUUGGUAAGGUAAAAGCUUACCAAGGCGAUGAUCAGUAACUGGUUUGAGAGGAUGAUCAGUCACACUGGAACUGAGACACGGUCCAG